AUAAUGCAAUUAAUGCAAUCAUGGAAUAUAUGAAUUCCAUGAAUAUAGCAUUAUCACUUCUUAAAACCUCAACUGCUAUAGUAGUCUCUAGUUGUUAAGCCUUGAAAAAUGCACAGGUGCUGUGACUAACGUCGAUUCAGGAUGCACAUCGGCGUGGGGUGAGGAGAGGAGGAGGUUAGGCCAAGACAUAGGGAGCAGGAGUCAGGGCCCGACAAGGACAGAGGGAAGAACAGAAUUAACCUUCCCUCACCUGUCCGGUGGAGUCCCAAUGAAAUCUCACUUCAUUUUCACCCCGCUUUCAUUUUAGCAAAUGUUUGGCAAAUGGGGGAGGGGCGCACAGUGGUAAUACUUUCCUCCUUAUUAGUUACACACAAAAGCUGCAUCCAGAGAUCUCACACAAAAUUGAAUAUUUACAGCAAAUAAGAAUCAAAUAACACUAUUUGUCAUGAUGUGCUGUAUACAUGCUUAAAUUAGAAUAUGAUGAAUUAAUUGUGGCAAUUUCUAGACACAAGAGCUUCAUCCUUUGAUUACAAACCUGAUUGUGUUCAUAUUUAACAAAUUUAGUUCAGGCUCUCCAAUUUAAAUUGUUUCGGUUUUGACACAAAUGUGUUUUUCUUUGUGUCACCCUACUUUUACAAUAAAACAGGACAAACAUUACCUUGAAGAGGUAUUUCAGGAAAUGUACACACACACACACACACACACACACACACACACACACUCACACUCGGGUACAGAUGUCCGAAAAGCAUAAAUCACAUGCAUUCGCUUACACACCCACCUACACAUUUGCACCAAGUGCUGACAGAUUGCUCAUUCUACCAGGUCCAUGUUAAACCAUCCAUCCAUCCAUCCAUCUUCUAAAUGUUUAUCCUGGUCUGGGCUGAGGGUAUGUGUCAAAUCACCAAUCUUAAUCUGUCCCCCUAACUAAAAUAACUAAAAUAUACACAACAUCAUUUGCUGCUACAGAAAGUGAGCUAAACUGCAGAAUAAAUGGAUGUCCAGCUAUCCCUAAGAGAAUGCUUAGGCUCUGCUAGCUCCUUUCUCUCCAAAUAGCCUAUAUAUAGACCAGCUUCAUACCAAACAUUAUUUAUAAUUUGCUCCCAUCAACUGAUUCACAGGAGGCUGUCGUCUUAUUCAGCUUGAAGGAGAGAUGUGUUAAGUUCUGAAGUUGCUCUGGUAGCUUCCCUGUGCAAAACUCGUAACACGGUGCUUUGGGAAUGCAUGGUAUAUAGAUUUCACUUAAAAUACGGGCCGCUUCAAUUAAUUCCACUGCCGAGUGGAAUCUCAGUCAAUCUCAUAUGAGGAUACAUUAUUUAAAUGCUCUUCAGUUUCUCAGUAAUAGGAAAGAGAAGUGCUAAAGGUUAACAAUUAAUGUUUAAAAUGCCUGUCACACACACUUUAUUGCAAUUCUAAUUAUUUCAGUGCCAUUAGGAAUCGCACAGUUUCACAUGCACAUCCUCUCAGAAGCUGGGCAGUUCCUGCGAAAUAAGCACUGAUGCAGUUCUGCCCAUCUUCAGAGUCUCCGUGCCCAUAUUUAGGUGUCAAACAUUUUCAAAGGGAAAUGUCCAAACUGGAGGGUGAUGCCAGAAAAACUGAGAGACAGCUGGGAGGAACUGGAAAUGGUACAUUCACAGAGCGAGGUGUCCAUCUAGUAAAUCCUCUCUGAAUUUACAGGAGGAGCUGUUUGACCUUUACUCACACAUAUACUGCGAAAAUGAACAUGGGUGGGAAAACAGCCCAUCGGUGCCAUCAAGCUGCCUCAGAUUCUCAGAACUAAUAUCCCUAGUUGGCCCCCUGAGUCACAUUUCACCGUUUAAAAAAAAAUAAAAAUUAAAUCACAUUUUCUCCACAGACACGAGUUUACGUGUUAUUGUAUCUGUUUUUAUCUACGUGUCAUCUUUCCCAAAAGCUGACCUGGCCAGACGACAACCCACUGCUGUCAGACUUUACAGGGUUUAUCUAGGACAUCGAUCCAUGCGUCCAAAUCGCUCGAUCGAUAGGCGAACAUUCAUCUUCAGAACAAGGUUUAUGGCGUGUAAGGAGCUGCCUGAUUGGAACAAGAAAUACAACCACUGCCCCCCCCCCCUCACCCCCCCAUAGCAGAUUCCCAUGCAGGUCAGCCGUCGUGGCUCCACGUUCUGCUGAAUGGACAGAACACACAUUUCUCUCUCAUCCCCACAGAGACAUAUAGGACCUGUGUGUGACACAGAAAUGUUAUAAUCACUGUUGCAAUAAGCAUGUGCGAGAUCACAGUCCAGAGACGCAUGGACGGCUUAUGAAUUACGCCUUAGAUAAAACUGCUGAACUGCUGCUUCAAUAAUGUAUCACUUCCCUGACUUUUUUUUUUUUUUUUUUUUUUAAUAUCACCGGUGAGUACACAGCGCAGAUCCAUCUAGGGUUAUUGCCACACAGGCCAUCCUGACACAGUAUUUGUCAAUGCCGGCAUUUUGCAUCUAAGGUCAAAAGAAGACAGCAAGCUGAGGCAGAGAGCCGCAAACAAACCACCUACAGACCACUCCCUGCCGGACCCAACACACUUCUGGUGAGCGAGCUCACGGUCAGUCCGACAGAAGGAUGAGUCUACCUUUCCCUCCGCCCAGCAAAAGCAUAUGUUGCUGGAGGUCUCGAGUAUAUCCGAAAUGAAAGAAGAGAUUCCCAGACGCAUGGUGGCUGGACUGGAAGGGCAAUCGCGACUGAUGAGAAAGCUGGAGGAGAAAGAGGCGUGGACUCCUCGGCUGUCAGAGCGGAGUGCUUGGGCGGACCGAAGGGGCCCCGCUGUGGAUGCUGCUGACGCUGUUACCGCUGCUGCCGCUAGCGCCGCCGCCGCCGCUGCAGGACCAGCGCGAUGUGCCGUGCUUCUGGCGCACGCUGACUAAGACAACAGUGCUGUGUGCCGCCUGUCGCUAUAACUCCAUACAGUCUCCCCCAUGGUGCCCCAAAUUUCCUGUGCCAAAAAGGACAUCCACCAGGACAUCGGUGAUCCAACACACAAAGCAUGCUGCUGUCAAGCUGAUUUGAAGUUUCAAAUGCAAAAGAACUAUGUGGUCAUAUGCUGUGAACUGUUAAACCUGGAAAAAAAAGUCUCAUUCUAUAUUAACACCAACGCACGCACUGAAUGGUCUGUCCCGUACUGUUUUUCUUAUUUAUUAUUAUUGUAAUAUUGUAUAUGCAGGAACUGAAAUAUUGUGUAAUUAUACACUCACGACAAAAGAUAAAUUAUGUAAUAGUAAGUGCUACAUUAAUCUGAUGUCAGGAAUUCAAAAUGACAAAUUUGUUUUUUUUGUUCAGUUUAAACCAGUACAUAUACAUAUGCUGACACACACAGACACAAGCAGAUCCUCACCUACAGCAGUUGCCGUUUAAACAAAUCCAUGUCCAGUUCAUUACAUUUUUACAAGAAUAAACCCAGAAAAGCCAGCAAAUGAUGCAGCAACGAUGUAGGAAGGAGAUUUCGGGGG
Long non-coding RNA from Brienomyrus brachyistius, 3461 nucleotides. RefSeq lists it as uncharacterized. The transcript is spliced from 3 exons. NCBI's taxonomy places the organism in Eukaryota, Metazoa, Chordata, Actinopteri, Osteoglossiformes, Mormyridae. The record is from RefSeq and is a predicted model, not a curated record.